RNAcentral lists this ribosomal RNA (497 nucleotides) under uncultured bacterium. Its description in RNAcentral is "partial 16S ribosomal RNA". It matches the Rfam family "Bacterial small subunit ribosomal RNA", at positions 28 to 507 of the family's 1533-position model. The record is from RNAcentral.
GACGAACGCUGGCGGCGUGCCUAAUACAUGCAAGUUGAGCGCUGAAGGUUGGUACUUGUACCAACUGGAUGAGCAGCGAACGGGUGAGUAACGCGUGGGGAAUCUGCCUUUGAGCGGGGGACAACAUUUGGAAACGAAUGCUAAUACCGCAUAAAAACUUUAAACACAAGUUUUAAGUUUGAAAGAUGCAAUUGCAUCACUCAAAGAUGAUCCCGCGUUGUAUUAGCUAGUUGGUGAGGUAAAGGCUCACCAAGGCGAUGAUACAUAGCCGACCUGAGAGGGUGGUCCGCCACAUUGGGACUGAGACACGGCCCAAACUCCUACGGGGGGCAGCAGUAGGGAAUCUUCGGCAAUUGACGGAAGUCUGACCGAGCAACGCCGCGUGAGUGAAGAAGGGUUUCGGAUCGGAAAACUCUGUUGGUAGGGAAGAACGUGGGUGAGAGUGGAAAGCUCAUCAAGUGACGGUAACUACCCAGAAAGGGACGGCUAACUACGUG